This 301-nucleotide ribosomal RNA is filed under the name uncultured bacterium. RNAcentral describes it as "partial 16S ribosomal RNA". It matches the Rfam family "Bacterial small subunit ribosomal RNA", at positions 509 to 807 of the family's 1533-position model. The record is from RNAcentral.
CAGUCGCCGCGGUAAUACGUAGGGUGCAAGCGUUAAUCGGAAUUACUGGGCGUAAAGCGUGCGCAGGCGGUUUUGUAAGACAGAUGUGAAAUCCCCGGGCUUAACCUGGGAACUGCAUUUGUGACUGGCGGGCUAGAGUAUGGCAGAGGGGGGUAGAAUUCCACGUGUAGCAGUGAAAUGCGUAGAGAUGUGGAGGAAUACCGAUGGCGAAGGCAAUCCCCUGGGCCUGCACUGACGCUCAUGCACGAAAGCGUGGGGAGCAAACAGGAUUAGAUACCCCCGUAGUCCCUGUCUCUUAUAC